Molecule: long non-coding RNA, 339 nt
Filed under: Chinchilla lanigera (long-tailed chinchilla)
Lineage: Eukaryota; Metazoa; Chordata; Mammalia; Rodentia; Chinchillidae
Description: lncRNA (ENSCLAG00000028699.1)
Source: RNAcentral
UGCUCACAGUGACUGAUGGAAUUUCUUCUCUUGCCAGAUAUGAUGUCAAGUCACUGAAAAGCAGACAUAUGCUACAGAGAACUGAUUCAUUAUUAGGUCAGCAAGAUUACCCAAGACAACUCCAAAGCUGCUAAACUGUGGAGCCUGGGGGAGCCUAGACCUUCAGAAAGAGUCUUGUGUUCUACAAUUCAAUACUUCCCAGUACGCACUCAGGACAAGAACAUGGCUGAACCAAGCACGCUCCCAAAGAGUUAAUAUUAGAAGUUGUAGCAAUCUCCCUUCCGUGGUUUGGCUUUCUGCAGUUUCAAUUACCUGAGGUCAACCACAGUCCAAAAAUAU